UGAGGAAUAUUGGUCAAUGGACGAGAGUCUGAACCAGCCAAGUAGCGUGCAGGAUGACGGCCCUAUGGGUUGUAAACUGCUUUUGUUUGGGAAUAAUCGACAUUACGUGUAAUGUUUUGCAUGUACCAUUCGAAUAAGGACCGGCUAAUUCCGUGCCAGCAGCCGCGGUAAUACGGAAGGUCCAGGCGUUAUCCGGAUUUAUCGGGUUUAAAGGGAGUGUAGGCGGUUGGUUAAGCGUGUUGUGAAAUGUAGAUGCUCAACAUCUGACUUGCAGCGCGAACUGGCUGACUUGAGUACACACAACGUAGGCGGAAUUCAUGGUGUAGCGGUGAAAUGCUUAGAUAUCAUGAAGAACUCCGAUUGCGAAGGCAGCUUACGGGAGUGUUACUGACGCUUAAGCUCGAAGGUGCGGGUAUCGAACAGG
This 424-nucleotide ribosomal RNA is filed under the name Verrucomicrobiota bacterium. RNAcentral's name for it is "Verrucomicrobia bacterium partial 16S ribosomal RNA". It matches the Rfam family "Bacterial small subunit ribosomal RNA", at positions 355 to 776 of the family's 1533-position model. Lineage: Bacteria; Pseudomonadati; Verrucomicrobiota. The record is from RNAcentral.